This is an RNA transcript of Vigna radiata var. radiata (mung bean), 2544 nucleotides long. It is a transcript of the gene named pentatricopeptide repeat-containing protein At1g80550, mitochondrial-like, with no coding region annotated. The record is from RefSeq and is a predicted model, not a curated record. NCBI's taxonomy places the organism in Eukaryota, Viridiplantae, Streptophyta, Magnoliopsida, Fabales, Fabaceae. The transcript has 4 exons.
GAGCUAAGAAGCACAGAGCUAGGGUCCGCUGCUAACUCCUCAACAAGUUCUCUCUCUUCCUCUCUCGUUCUCAAUCAUUUUCCGACGAAGAUAAAACGAAUGAAUGCAAAUACCUAUCAUGUGAGAAUGGUUUCUUCAGAAUGAGGUAGCUGUUGCAGCCAGGCACCUGCUUCCAGUCCUAGUGAGCCCAUAGACAUCAUGACUUGUGCUGAGAAAAUCUCUGGCUUACAGUGGUCUUGCAAGAGGUCUUCAAGAAAGUGCCAACAUCAUUGAGAAGCAUGCUGCACAGCUCUGCGUUCUAGCAGAAGAUUGUGACCAACCUGGUUAUGUGAAACUGGUGAAGGCCCUUUACGCAGAGCACAAUGUUAGCCUUUUGACAGUUCCAAGUGCAAAAGGGUAGAGAUUUUUAAGUGUGAACACUUUGGAAGAGUUGGAAAACUUAGCAAAAGAGGUUUCAAAAGCAACGGUCUUUUUGUUCCCUUUUGAUAGAGUGUGUAACACAGUUGUAGUCCAAAUAAGAGGUUUUUUGAUUGAGAGGGAAGUGUGGUGAGGAAAAUGCGUCGUUUGAUUUUGAUUUCAUCACGUUCAAAUCUACUUCCACCUUUUCAAUUUCAAACCUUAUCCACAGCCACCGUCACAGAGAGGCCUUUUCCUACCCCUCCACCUCCCGAUGAGGCCACCGUUCGCCAAACGCUGCUCUCCUUCAACAAUGACUGGAAGCGAGCCCUGGAGUUCUUCGAUUGGGUGGAGGAAUCUCACUCCCACUGCAACUUUCGCCACUCCACUGACACCUUCAACCUCAUGCUCGACAUCCUGGCCAAGUUCUUCGAGUUCGAUCUCUGUUGGCACCUCAUUCGCCGCAUGCACUCCCACCCCUCCUCUCCCCCCAACCAUACCACAUUCCGUGUCAUCUUUAAGCGCUAUGUUUCCGCCCAUCUUGUCCAAGAUGCCAUUGACACCUUCCACCGCCUUGAAGAGUUCAACCUCAAGGACCACACCUCCUUCUCCCACCUCGUAGAUGCCCUCUGCGAGUACAAGCACGUCCUCGAGGCACAAGACCUUGUCUUCUCUAAAGACACACCCGUCGACACAAUUGGAAACACCAAGAUCCACAACAUGGUUCUCCGUGGGUGGUUCAAAUUGGGGUGGUGGAGCAAAUGCAACGAGUUCUGGGAGGAGAUGGAUAGAAAAGGGGUUCAAAAGGACUUGCACUCAUAUUCAAUUUACAUGGAUAUUCUGUGCAAAGCUGGAAAACCUUGGAAGGCUGUCAAAUUGUUCAAAGAGGUUACCAAGAAGGGUUUCCAAUUAGAUGUUAUGGUUUAUAACAUUCUCAUUCGAGCCAUUGGUNUUUCCCAAGGGGUUGAUUUCUCAAUUAGGGUUUUCCGUGAAAUGAAGGAGUUGGGUAUUAACCCCACUAUUGUCACUUACAACACUUUGAUUAGGCUUUUGUGUGAUUGCUACAGACACAAGGAGGCACUUGCCUUGCUUCGAACCAUGGCUCAGGAUGGUUGCCACCCCACUGCCAUUUCUUACCAUUGUUUUUUUGCCUCUAUGGAGAAGCCUAAACAGAUACUUGCUAUGUUUGAUGACAUGAUAGAAGGUGGGGUUAGGCCCAGCAUGGACACCUAUGUCAUGCUCCUGAACAAGUUUGGUAGGUGGGGGUUUCUUCGCCCAGUUUUCAUGAUAUGGAAUAGAAUGGAGCAACUUGGGUGUAGUCCUGAUGCAGCAGCUUACAAUGCCUUGAUAGAUGCUCUUGUAGACAAGGGGUUGAUAGAUUUGGCUAGAAAGUACGAUGAGGAGAUGUUAGCGAAAGGACUUUUACCUAAGCCAAGAAAAGAGUUGGGGACAAAGCUGUUAGGAGGAGAAUCUGCUGAUUUAUUGGACGAGUAUUCUCAAAGUACCAUACAGACACACAACGUUCCACUAGUCUAGAUAAUGUACUUCAGUGGCUUAAGAGCGCAGAUGAACUGGAAAGUGUUGUUGGUCGAUAAUAGAAAAUGUUAAUGCUCGUAUAUUUGACCAGACAUCAGUAGAAGAAGGGUUCAUUCUGAAGUUGAAGAUAUUAAUGAAAGGUGCUCCGAUGAAAAGAAAAGAAUCCGAGGCCAAAAUCCUACACCUUUCCAAACCAGAGGUGAAAGAUUUGAGAUUGGAAUUCACUCCAGUGAGUCAGUAUGAAACAGUUAAGAGUCUGCAGGAGAAUGGGCACCUUCCUGUUUCAACAACAGUGAAAUCAUAAACAAGCUCACCCCUUUAUUUAAUUACCAGUUUAAUUCAGGACAAGAAGCUGCAGCUUUUGGCAAUCUGGGCUAGCUCAUUAUUAUAAGAGAGUUAGCUAAACUCUGAAUUCAAAAGAAAGUGAUUUCUCCUUUUAUUACAAAGAAUGAAAAGGAAAGAAUUCAGAAGAAAGAUAUCCUCAUUUAUCGGUGGGAAAUAGAGUGGAAAAGGAAGAAUGUGAUAAGAACAAAAUUGUUAUAUUUGACUGAAAAAAAAGUUAAAAAAAAAAACAAAUAAAGAAUUUCAAACUAUAAAAUCAUUGUUUUUAAU